RNAcentral lists this long non-coding RNA (428 nucleotides) under Anser brachyrhynchus (Pink-footed goose). RNAcentral describes it as "lncRNA (ENSABRG00000004720.1)". Lineage: Eukaryota; Metazoa; Chordata; Aves; Anseriformes; Anatidae. The record is from RNAcentral.
CUUACCUCUGGGUUGCGAAAAUUAUUCAGUAGCUUAAAAGAGAGACAGUAUCAACAAACACCUUCCUCCUCAACUUCAUUCAAUCUCCGGUAUUAUAGGAAGAAACCAUUCUGGGAGAUGACUACCAAGAACCUGGAAAGCAGAGCCUCAGGAUGCCACGGGGCGGAUGUGCGGUAACAGGUGCUGUCGUACAAAUGAACCUUGUGGAGAGGGUUUGCCAUCACCAGCAGCAGCACCCCCCAAAUUGCCUUCUUCCAGCAGUAAUUACAUGACUUGCUGUUUUGGAGAACCUGAUAGAGAAGUUGCCUGUACUUUCCCCUGUACUUUACCUGCUUGUACGUUCCAGGUCAGAGGAGGUUUGCAUUUUUGUCAUAUUGCAAUACUUGCCUUUAUGUAAGUGCUGCUAAGAAUAAAAUUAUCAGUGGGAG